This is a long non-coding RNA of Lotus japonicus, 404 nucleotides long. RefSeq lists it as uncharacterized. The record is from RefSeq and is a predicted model, not a curated record. NCBI's taxonomy places the organism in Eukaryota, Viridiplantae, Streptophyta, Magnoliopsida, Fabales, Fabaceae. The transcript is spliced from 3 exons.
CUCGCUUUCCCUUGCUCUUGUGACUGCUGCUCCAGUCUUCCUCAACCUUGCUCGUAACCUCUCCGCAUCUGGACACAAGCCUCGACUGCUGCUCCACCUUUUCUCAACCCUUAAGCUCGACAGCGGCGCACUUUCUUCAGGGUGUUGAAGAGCUUACUGAUGCUGCCAAAGUAACCAUUGGUCCUCCUAAGGAAUUAUGAUUGCUGAUCCCAAAUAAGUAUUGGUUGAUAUCAAGUUUAUUCUGUUUUAGGGGAGCAAUGUGGUGAUUGAGCUAAGUUUUGGUGCUCCUAAAGUGACCAAAGAUGGAGUGACUGUUGCAAAGAGCAUUGAAUUCAAGGGUAAAGUUAAAAUGUUAGUGCCAGUCUUAUUAAGAAGGUUGCAAAUGCAAACAAUGAUGUAGCUGG